Panthera pardus (leopard) is the source of this 118-nucleotide ribosomal RNA. The record is from Ensembl. Lineage: Eukaryota; Metazoa; Chordata; Mammalia; Carnivora; Felidae.
GUCUACGACCAUACUAUCAUGAACACGCCCAAUCUCAUCUGAUCUCAGAAGCUAAGCAGGGUAGGGCCUGGUUAGUACCUGGAUGGGAGAACAUUCAUUUUACAAAGAACCUCAGACA